This is a long non-coding RNA of Musa acuminata AAA Group (dessert banana), 1301 nucleotides long. RefSeq lists it as uncharacterized. The transcript has 5 exons. The record is from RefSeq and is a predicted model, not a curated record. Lineage: Eukaryota; Viridiplantae; Streptophyta; Magnoliopsida; Zingiberales; Musaceae.
CUUGUAAACGAAAUAUUUGGAAACAAAUAUUGUUCUAACCUCUAUGUCAGCCAUUAUUUUGUUGUCUAUUCUUUUUACUCUACAUCCAAUCCUGGUUAUAGCAUAUGAGUGGUGCACUUUUGCUUUUGCUAUUCAUCGUUUUCUCUGCAUCAUGAAUAAUUUCAGGUAUUUCUGUCUUUACAUAUGUACAUAUUUUGCAUAUCAGUUUUUUUUCCUGCCCAUUUAAAACUCAAAUGUGAGUAAAACAAUUGCUUCUUGUAAAUCUUGGACAUAAUAUCCCUUCCAGAUGUAUUCAUUUUAUGAUCAUAUGGUUCAUCAGCUUAUGGAGGUUCUUCUGUUUCAUGACUUCCCAUGAUAGAAUUUCUAGUCUACUAAUUCUUCAAGCUGUUUGUUACCUCAUUGGAUCCACAAGACUUUUAUGCAUUCCCCACAAGGAGACAUCCUUAGUUGUCAGUGAAACUAGACCUUUUUGGAAUUGCUGAACCAUUUAUUCACUUCUGAAUUAUUGUUACCUAUGACAAUUAUUUAUGUUGCAUAUUCUGAUAAUUGUUGAUGUUGACCUAUAGAAGCUUCAAUUGUUUUUUAUUUUCACAUGCAGGAAAAUAUUUGUUGCUUGCCACACCUAGUGCCGUUACCCUUUUCCAGUCUACUGAUUCUCAUAAUAAUGUUUUUAUCCGGGAUCAGCUAGAUAAUGAUUCAGGGCCAAAGCCCAACAAAAACUCAGUUUAAUAUGGACAUAGUCUAUAUUCCACGGAAUGGCGAUUAAGUGUAACAUGCUAAGAAGUGAACAACCCAAAGAGAAGUGGGCCUACAUUAAAUGAGACAUGUCUUGGUAUAUUAUAUCCAAACGAGAUUUACAAAGUGUAUGGUUAUCUAACCAUCACAAAGGUCAAGUCUCUUAUGGUGACAACUGAUCUAGAUGUGAAUUAUGCAGAUGUCAGAAAUGAGUCACAAGUUCAACAUUCAAAAACCUUUGCUGGGUAAAUGACACUUUGCUGGGUAAAUGACUCUAAUAUUCCUCAGGAGUCAGCAGUAUCUCCAACUCCCUCGGGUCUGUAACCACUGGGUAAAUGACACUUGUUCUGUGUUGACUCGGUGUUGAAGUCUUAUCUAAUUGGAAGCAUAUUGGCAAAUCAUCUGCGAUGUUCCAUCUUCUAACCAUUCUUAUAGAGCAAUGUUCUCAGCUCAGUUUACUCGGUUCUUAUCCCUGGCUUUUGAAUUGUUUUCAUUAGAACCAUGUAUUUAUGCUUUUUGUCUGGUAACAACAGCUUGCUCACAGAAUCAAUCAUUCGUCUUUUGUA